UCCGAAGAGACGUUAAGGAUUUCCAACUGUUUCAUAUUAAACCGCAAGAUGGAAAAUGAUGAAAACGGAAGCAGAGCAACGGAAGCCCUUCCACAAGAUGAAGAGCUUAACCUGCUGCUGCUGCUGCAUCGUAAAAUUGCUUUAUUGCUACCUGGAAGCACCUCGUCGUAAUCAGCCGUUUCAAAAUCCAAAAUCCAACGGGCGUUACGCCGUUACCUAGCAACUGCAGACGACGCCUAGCAACCAAAGCGAAGCUCCGGAAGACAAUGUGGAUUCCCCCCGUCAUCCAAGUUGCACAAUGGAGUCAACAGACGGAUUCCUGUGGAUGGAAGAGCGGGUGUGUAGGUAGCGCUGGGAGUAAUCGCCCCAUUGUUACAGAAAUAAAAAACGCAGAGGCUGACAUUUGUUGUUUAUUCUGGGUGUUUCCAUCACACCCACCAUGAAGUGAUGGUUGAACUUUCUAGGUAGUUAAAAUAAAAUCUGAAAAGCUUCA
Molecule: long non-coding RNA, 493 nt
Organism: Poecilia reticulata (guppy)
Lineage: Eukaryota; Metazoa; Chordata; Actinopteri; Cyprinodontiformes; Poeciliidae
Source: RefSeq, a predicted model, not a curated record